CAGGAUGAACGCUAGCUACAGGCUUAACACAUGCAAGUCGUGGGGCAGCAUGGUUGUUGCUGCAACAACCGAUGGCGACCGGCGCACGGGUGAGUAACGCGUAUCCAACCUGGCCCUUAGUAGGGGAUAGCCCGGCGAAAGUCGGAUUAAUACCCUAUGUUCUUUACAUCAGACAUCUAACGUAAAGCAAAGAUUCAUCGCUAGGGGAUGGGGAUGCGUCCGAUUAGCUUGCCGGCGGGGUAACGGCCCACCGGGGCGACGAUCGGUAGGGGUUCUGAGAGGAAGGUCCCCCACAUUGGAACUGAGACACGGUCCAAACUCCUACGGGAGGCAGCAGUGAGGAAUAUUGGUCAAUGGGCGAGAGCCUGAACCAAGCCAAGUAGCGUGAGGGAUGACGGCCCUACGGUUGUAAACCUCUUUGUACGGAAUAAAGUGCGCCACGCGUGGCGUUUUGUAUGUACCGUAAGAAUAAGGACCGGCUAAUUCCGUGCCAGCCGCCGC
This 501-nucleotide ribosomal RNA is filed under the name uncultured bacterium. Its description in RNAcentral is "bacterial SSU rRNA". It matches the Rfam family "Bacterial small subunit ribosomal RNA", at positions 25 to 518 of the family's 1533-position model. The record is from RNAcentral.